Molecule: long non-coding RNA, 2333 nt
Organism: Brassica napus (rape)
Lineage: Eukaryota; Viridiplantae; Streptophyta; Magnoliopsida; Brassicales; Brassicaceae
Exons: 3
Source: RefSeq, a predicted model, not a curated record
AUUUUAAAUCUCAAUUCCAAAUCUCACACCUUAACUCUAAACAAUAAGGAAUUAGUUAACCAUAGGGAUAUAAGUGUAUAUUUACCUUUUUAAUGAAACAUUUUGGUCAUUUUGAUCUUUACAAUCUAUAUUUGUGAUAUAAAUUUUUUUAAGGAUAUUUCCCUAUGUAUAAUCAUAUAUCCAUAAAUUAGUCAAAAGCUCAAAUCCUUUGCACAUGUUGUAAAGGUAAGUCUUCAUAGACUUGCCUUGUAUGCACGAUUCUCUUUUUAGUAUGGUAAUAAAUCGCUUGAUUCUUCAAUCUCAAAUUGUUUCUUUAUUUCUAGUAAUACUAUAAAAGUAGUGAUUUGCUAUUGAUUUUUAUUAUGAAUUUUUUUUAGAAUUUAAAGCAAAAAGCAGCAUGCGCUAUCAUGUAUCAUGUAUGGAUAAUGGAUAACUUCAACAUUAUGUAACAAUGCUUUCGUAUUUUACAAGGGCAGAAACUGUAAAGCUACCCGCUUUGAAAAUCAGAAGAAACUCAUCAAAUUGAUGAAUAAUAUAUAAAUAGUUUUAAUGAAAACAUAAUAGUUUUAAAUAUAUUGGGAAACUGAAUGUCAUUUAGAUAACACAUGUAGAAGCGAGCAUGUGAGGAAACAUUUUUUUAUUAUAAGUUAAUUGCUUUUGUAAUAUGCAUCUAUUGAAAUUUGUGUUUUCUCACAUGGGUGAAUUAAUAGUGGAUCUAUUGAUUAUUAAUUACGUAUUUAUUGCGUUCCCGGAACAUAUAUAUUUAUUACUAAUACUUUGGUAAACAAGAUCACAUAUUCACAAAUUUCACGUCAAGAAGGGAGAGAGAUCAAAUCUUAUUCUUAUGCCGACAUAGAUGAUCAUCAACAAUCGAGUUCUCUGAUGCAACUCUUCUCUCUAUCUUCAUCUCAUUUCUUCUCAACCUUCAAGAUCAAGAAAGAUACAUUACUCGGAAUCUCUCUUCUCAUUACUUUCCUAAUCUUCUCCUUCGUCGUCGUUGAUCUUGUCGGCUUCGAGCCUCAUCUCUCUUUUGGAUUUUUAGACCAUCUUUAACGCUGGUGUUAAAGAGGGUUCUUAAAGAAAUAAACUCAUUAAAUUAAAUGUAAAUGAUAUUAGAAGGAGAUAAUCGAUCCUUAUUUUGGUAAUUUGGGGACCGAUUAUAACGUGGGUUUUGUUCCACGUGUCAAACAGAAAAGACAUCAUUUAUUUUUUUUUCUUCUCUCCUUUCUCUCUUUCUUCUUUCUUGUCUUUUGGUUUUCUCGUUUUCUCCGAAGGGAAGAGAAACGAUCGGCGACUCUCUCGCUGCUGUCGCCGUUUCCUCCGUCUUCUCUCCUCUUCGCCGUCUCCUCCGUCUUCUCUCCUCUUCGCCGUCCGAAGAACGAUGAAAACCCACCACGCUCGACGACUCUCUCGCUUCUGACGGUGUCUCCUCCGUCUUCUCUCAUCUUCGCCGUCUUCGUAACAAUGGAAACCCACCACGAUCAACGACUCUCUUGCUCCGAAUGGCGUCUUUUCCAUCUUCUCUCGUCUCCGCACGGUCUCUUCCAUCGCUCUUUCAGAUGUCUCUCACGAUCUCUUCAACUUCGAGAUCAACUACCCAAGAAAUCGAAGAAAGAUUUCUCUAUCGGCUAUUGUGGAGAGGAAGAAGUCUCCCAAGAGACUUGUCGUCGAUGAAGCCAUCAAUGAUGAUAACUUCGUUGCAUCUCUCCACCCUGCCACCAUGGAGAAGCUCAAGCUCUUCCGAUGUGAUACCAUUAUCAUCAAGAUUGGGUCUUUUUCCUUCUUUUCACUCUGUUGAAUGAGAUUUUAAUUAGAGUUUUGUAGGUAAUUGAAAUCACUGAUUAAAUUAGGUGUUAUGAAUAUGAAGACACUUGUUUUUUGAUUAUAUGGUUCGUGAUUACACUGAGUGCAUUGCUAAUUUGGUUUGCAUUGAUGAAUCAUGCGAGGAGGCAAAGAUCAGAAUGCAUCGGGAGUGAGAACUUGAGGAGCCAAAGACAGCUUAUUUCUUGGAGGCGAAUCACCCCAUGUCGGUUAGAGAGGAUGUCACGAGGCCGUAUGUGACCAGAGAGGAUGUCGCGAGAGGCCGUAUGUGACCAGAGAGGAUGUUACGAGAAGGAAGUCACAAGCGUUGUCUGUAUGUGUCACAAGAGAUGGAAGUCACAAGAGUUGUCCGUAUGUGUCAUAAGAUGUAUGUCAUUUGAGUGGUCCGUAUGUGUCACAAGAUGUAUAUGUCACUUCGGUUGUAUGUAUGUGUCACAAGAGUGGUCGAGUGAAACAUUGAUUUUAUAAAGUCUAUGCUUGUCUAUAUAAUCACAAAUGCUUCUUCUUUACUU